GAUGAACGCUGGCGGCGUGCCUAAUACAUGCAAGUCGAGCGAACAGACGAGGAGCUUGCUCCUCUGACGUUAGCGGCGGACGGGUGAGUAACACGUGGAUAACCUACCUAUAAGACUGGGAUAACUUCGGGAAACCGGAGCUAAUACCGGAUAAUAUAUUGAACCGCAUGGUUCAAUAGUGAAAGACGGUUUUGCUGUCACUUAUAGAUGGAUCCACGCCGCAUUAGCUAGUUGGUAAGGUAACGGCUUACCAAGGCAACGAUGCGUAGCCGACCUGAGAGGGUGAUCGGCCACACUGGAACUGAGACACGGUCCAGACUCCUACGGGAGGCAGCAGUAGGGAAUCUUCCGCAAUGGGCGAAAGCCUGACGGAGCAACGCCGCGUGAGUGAUGAAGAUCUUCGGAUCGUAAAACUCUGUUAUUAGGGAAGAACAAAUGUGUAAGUAACUAUGCACGUCUUGACGGUACCUAAUCAGAAAGCCACGGCUAACUACGUG
This 497-nucleotide ribosomal RNA is filed under the name uncultured bacterium. Its description in RNAcentral is "partial 16S ribosomal RNA". It matches the Rfam family "Bacterial small subunit ribosomal RNA", at positions 28 to 507 of the family's 1533-position model. The record is from RNAcentral.